GGCCCCUUGGUCAAGUGGCUAAGACAUCGCCCUUUCACGGCGGCAACAUGGGUUCGAAUCCCGUAGGGGUCACCA
Molecule: transfer RNA, 75 nt
Filed under: Clostridiaceae bacterium
Lineage: Bacteria; Bacillati; Bacillota; Clostridia; Eubacteriales; Clostridiaceae
Description: tRNA-Glu
Rfam family: tRNA
About the family: Transfer RNA (tRNA) molecules are approximately 80 nucleotides in length.
Source: RNAcentral